This is a long non-coding RNA of Canis lupus familiaris (dog), 2221 nucleotides long. RefSeq lists it as uncharacterized. The record is from RefSeq and is a predicted model, not a curated record. The transcript has 3 exons. NCBI's taxonomy places the organism in Eukaryota, Metazoa, Chordata, Mammalia, Carnivora, Canidae.
CCAGGCGCAGACAGCCCAGAACGCGCGCCGAGCGCUUGCGCGGGGCCGACGGCCACCUAGGGGCGAGGAGCGCCGCGCACAGCUGCCGACCGGCGCGCCACUAGCCCACCUGCAGCCCGGCCAGGAGGAGGGCUGGACUGUGGGGCCAAGAGAAAUGGCCGGGCCGGGAGCCCUCCGAGGAGCCGCCUCCGCGAACUUCUAGGCUUGCCGGGCACAGGCUGAGAGAAAGUUCGAAACCAGGCUGCUGUGGUAGAAGUAAUGACAGGAGACCGCCGAGCAGAGGAGCCGGCAGAAAGAUGCUGGGAAGACACCGGGGAAAAAAACCGGCACACAGUGAGAGAGAGAGGCAGAGACACAGGCAGAGGGAGAAGCAGGCUCCAUGCACCGGGAGCCCAACGUGGGAUUAGAUCCUGGGUCUCCAGGAUCGCGCCCUGGGCCAAAGGCAGGCGCUAAACCGCUGCGCCACCCAGGGAUUCCCAUAUUCUAUUUUCUCAGAACAGUUCUGACUCAGUGUGGGAAAAGACUACAAAAGUGUGAACACCAAGGAAGAGGCAAGGAUCAGUGGAAGCCAUGUUGGAUAUUGGCUACAACAACCAACUCCCACAAGCACUGAUGCAUAGCCUCUCUAGCCAAAGGGUGAACAUCCCUUUGGAGAAGGCCAGGAGGAAGAUUUAUGAUGUAUUCAUGCAGCAAUGCUGUAAGAUCAUUCUUCAUGGGAAGGAAGCCAUUCAAUCAAAAGAUUCUACGUUUAUGAACUGGCUUAAGUUUGGAAACUGGGCAAGAAGCCAUGACCCUCCAUUGUGGUAACUCAAGUCAGAUUUUUGGCCAUCCAACAUAUACCAGGCUGUUCAUCUCUUUUACUCCAAGGAAUAUCAUGAUCAAUUAGCCACAACCAAAGGUCUCUAUGGGCCAGAGCAUUCUUAUUACUAAUAAUAUACCUCCUUCUCUUUAGACUAAACAUGCCCACCUUGUCUUUUACGGUUAAGUGCUGCCACUUGACCUCUGCUACUUGGGAUCCCAUCAUUUCUAGUGAAAUCAGGGAGUUCAUCACAAUGGCAGCAUCUUGCAUGGUCAUACCUUUUCCUACAAAGGAGAGCAACCACAAACCUCUCUACUGUAUUUCUCAAUGUUUAGUAUUUCUCUUCUCACUAAUGUAUGUUUCAGUGUCUUAGUGGCAGGAGUGCUGUCCAGGCCACCCCAGGAGUUUGCCAUUUGUACAAAUAAAUCCACUCUAACCUGCCUGUCUCCUUAAGUCUUUGGAUACCCUUCUUUACUUCAGGCCAGUGAAGCUCUGGUAUCUUAUUCUCAUUCAACAAGCCACCAGUGAACCAAAAUUUUAGUCAACCAACCCAUUAAGUUGUUAGAGCCACCUCCAUUUACAUAAAUUAACACGUUAAAUCUAGAAUCUCUAGUAAGCAGCCCCAAAUCAAUGAAUUCUUCCUGAUAUAGUUAUGUUUUGCCUUCUUUGAUCUGAUACCCUUAGAAUCUACUCCUACACAUUUCCAGGUUUGUGCUAACACUGUAUAUAUUAGCUAAACCUUGUGAUAAUUCAUUUGAUGUACUAGCUACUCUUUUCCGGGUCAUAUUGUAUACCUGACUCCCUAGAGUAGACUGAGAUUUGACCCUACUUAUGAUUCUACUAGCAACCAUGUAUGAUUGUGGUAUUUCUUACAGAGGAUGCACACCCCCUUGCAAGGCAUCUGUCCUCAAUCAGGUUAUUGUCAAGUUUUCAAGCAAAACAAGGCUAGUUCCCUCAGAGUCCUGCCUUUGGAGAUGAUGGAUAUGUUUAUGGCAUAAAUUGUGGUGAUGGUUUCAUGGAUGUAUAUACUUCUCUCCAAAUUCAUCAAGUUGUCGGGAUCCCUGGGUUGCGCAGUGGUUUGGCGCCUGCCUUUGGCCCAGGGCGUGAUCCUGGAGACCCGGGAUCGAAUCCCACAUCGGGCUACCGGUGCAUGGAGCCUACUUCUCCCUCUGCCUGUGUCUCUGCCUCUCUCUCUCUGUGACUAUCAUAAAUAAAUAAAAAUUAAAAAAAAAAUAAAUCCCAUUAAAAAAAAAUUCAUCAAGUUGUAUACAUUAAAUAUGUACUACUUUUUAUAUGAGUUCACUUUUUGAACUCAAUGUGGCUUAAAAAAAGAAAUUGUAGGGGCACCUGGGUGGCUCAGUUGGUUAAGCAUCCGCCUUUAGCUCAGGAGGUCAUGAUCCUGGGUUCCUGAGAUCAAGCCCC